RNAcentral lists this ribosomal RNA (491 nucleotides) under uncultured bacterium. RNAcentral's name for it is "bacterial SSU rRNA". It matches the Rfam family "Bacterial small subunit ribosomal RNA", at positions 17 to 518 of the family's 1533-position model. The record is from RNAcentral.
UUCUGGCUCAGGAUGAACGCUGGCGGCGUGCCUAACACAUGCAAGUCGAGCGGAGAUAAGUUGAAGCCUAGCGAUUCUUAUCUUAGCGGCGGAUGGGUGAGUAACACGUGGGUAACCUGCCCUGUACUGGGGGAUAACAGCUGGAAACGGCUGUUAAUACCGCAUAUGCGCACGGAGCCGCAUGGCCCUGGGCGGAAAGAUUCAUCGGUACAGGAUGGGCCCGCGCCGGAUUAACUUGUUGGCGGGGUAACGGCCCACCAAGGUGAUGAUCCGUAGCCGACCUGAGAGGGUGACCGGCCACAUUGGGACUGAGACACGGCCCAAACUCCUACGGGAGGCAGCAGUGGGGGAUAUUGCACAAUGGGGGAAACCCUGAUGCCAGCGACGCCGCGUGAAGGAAGAAGUAUUUCGGUAUGUAAACUUCUAUCAGCGGGGAAGAAGAUGACGGUACCCGCACAAGAAGCCCCGGCUAACUACGUGCCAGCAGCUGC